Molecule: ribosomal RNA, 119 nt
Filed under: Pteropus alecto (black flying fox)
Lineage: Eukaryota; Metazoa; Chordata; Mammalia; Chiroptera; Pteropodidae
Source: RNAcentral
AUCUACAGCCACGCCACCCUGAACAAGCCCGAUCCCGUCUGAUCUCGGAAGCUAAGCAGGCUCGGGCCUGGUUAAUACUUGGAUGGGAGACCACCUAGGAAAACUGGGUGCUGUAGGUG